Ictalurus punctatus (channel catfish) is the source of this 751-nucleotide long non-coding RNA. NCBI's taxonomy places the organism in Eukaryota, Metazoa, Chordata, Actinopteri, Siluriformes, Ictaluridae. The record is from Ensembl.
GCCAUAAAACACCAGAAGAAGAAGAAAAAUUCAGUGCAUGCUCUGUGAAUGGUUCGAAAAUUGUCACUUAUCAAACAUGGAUUCUUCCAUGUAUAUUCAGUUUUUAGUCCUGGUUUGCAGUGAAGAACAAGCUCAGGGCGAGCCAUCUCAGGACUGUGCUCAACAUUCUCACAAGCUCCACACUGGGAAGAGGUCUGAUCCAGGAAGUUUUCACAUUGCUCUAUGAAGUUGAGCAAGCCCGCCGUCUCACAAGAAUCAUUGAAGGCAAGAAACUCCAGUCAGAUGGGCGGUCAUCCAUAGAAUGAGGAUGCCACAUCUGAGGAGGAGGUAUGGGAGGGUGGAAUGUCAGCAGGUGGAUUGAUGUCAUAGGUGGCACUCAAGUUGGAUGGUGUGAUUCUAUCUCUAGGUGCAGGUACCAGUGUUUUGGAGCAUGGAUGGAAGAAAAGUUGGAUGUAGCAUGUAGAUUGCAUGUAGUCUGCAUGUAGUCUGCAUGCAGUCUGCAUGUAGAUUGCAUGUAGUCUGUAUGUAGAUUGCAUGUAGUCUGUAGAGAGUAGUACUGCUAGUCUGUCUGAGUGUCUUUAUCUGACUCCCAUUUAGCAUCUCUCCGCAGGAAACAAUCUACAAUCACCCUCUCCAAUGUCUCCUGGGACCUUUGAAAAUUGUCUUACAUCUGUGCUAAGCUAGCAUCCACAGCGUCCCUGAAACUGGCUUGUUAAGUGUGCUGUUUAUGGAUUGUUUGAAGUCUAUGUCU